RNAcentral lists this ribosomal RNA (500 nucleotides) under uncultured bacterium. RNAcentral describes it as "bacterial SSU rRNA". It matches the Rfam family "Bacterial small subunit ribosomal RNA", at positions 8 to 498 of the family's 1533-position model. The record is from RNAcentral.
AGAGUUUGAUCAUGGCUCAGAUUGAACGCUGGCGGCAUGCCUAACACAUGCAAGUCGAACGGCAGCACAGAGGAGCUUGCUCCUUGGGUGGCGAGUGGCGGACGGGUGAGUAAUGCAUCGGGAUCUACCCUGACGUGGGGGAUAACCUCGGGAAACCGGGACUAAUACCGCAUACGUCCUACGGGAGAAAGCGGGGGACCUUCGGGCCUCGCGCGGCAGGACGAACCGAUGUGCGAUUAGCUAGUUGGUGGGGUAAUGGCCCACCAAGGCGACGACGGGUAGCUGGUCUGAGAGGAUGGCCAGCCACACUGGGACUGAGACACGGCCCAGACUCCUACGGGAGGCAGCAGUGGGGAAUCUUGCGCAAUGGGCGAAAGCCUGACGCAGCGACGCCGUGUGCGGGAAGAAGGCCUUCGGGUUGUAAACCGCUUUCAGGAGGGACGAAGCCACUCGGGUUAAUAGCCCAGAGGGUGACGGUACUUCCAGAAGAAGCCCCGGCU